Molecule: ribosomal RNA, 468 nt
Filed under: uncultured bacterium
Lineage: Bacteria
Description: partial 16S ribosomal RNA
Rfam family: Bacterial small subunit ribosomal RNA
Source: RNAcentral
GACGAACGCUGGCGGCGUGCCUAACACAUGCAAGUCGAGCGGAAAGGCCCUGCUCUUGUGUGGUGCUCGAGUGGCGAAGGGGUGUGUAACACGCGUGUAACCUGUCCUUGACUGUGGGAGAACUUCAGGAAACUGGGGCUAAUACCGGAUAGGAUCUCCUGCUGCACGGUGGGGGUAGGAAAGUUUCGGCGGUGGGGGAUGGACUAGCGGCUUAUCGGCUUGUUGGUGGGGUAGUGGCUUACCCAGGCUUUGACGGGUAGCCGGCCUGAGCGGGUGACCGGCGGCCUUGGAACUGAGGGACGGCACAGACUGGUACGGGGGGCAGCAGUGGGGAAUCUUGCCCAAGGAGCGGAAGCCUGAUGCAGCAGCGCCGCGUGCGGGAUGACGGCCUUCGGAGUGAAGACCGCUUUCGCCUGUAACGGAGCGUGAGUGACGGUAACGGAUAAAGAAGCCCCGGCUAACUACGUG